AGUGAACGCUGGCGGUAGGCCUAACACAUGCAAGUCGAACGGCAGCACAGUAAGAGCUUGCUCUUACGGGUGGCGAGUGGCGGACGGGUGAGGAAUACAUCGGAAUCUACUUUUUCGUGGGGGAUAACGUAGGGAAACUUACGCUAAUACCGCAUACGACCUACGGGUGAAAGCAGGGGAUCUUCGGACCUUGCGCGAUUGAAUGAGCCGAUGUCGGAUUAGCUAGUUGGCGGGGUAAAGGCCCACCAAGGCGACGAUCCGUAGCCGGUCUGAGAGGAUGAUCAGCCAAACUGGAACUGAGACACGGUCCAGACUCCUACGGGAGGCAGCAGUGGGGAAUAUUGGACAAUGGGCGCAAGCCUGAUCCAGCCAUACCGCGGGGGUGAAGAAGGCCUUCGGGUUGUAAAGCCCUUUUGUUGGGAAAGAAAAGCAGCAGGUUAAUACCCCGCUGUUCUGACGGUACCCAAAGAGUAAGCACCGGCUAACUUCGU
Molecule: ribosomal RNA, 491 nt
Filed under: uncultured bacterium
Lineage: Bacteria
Description: partial 16S ribosomal RNA
Rfam family: Bacterial small subunit ribosomal RNA
Source: RNAcentral